UCCCNGUCAGGCAGUGCAGGCAGGGCUGCGC
This 31-nucleotide non-coding RNA is filed under the name Rattus norvegicus (Norway rat). The record is from RNAcentral. Lineage: Eukaryota; Metazoa; Chordata; Mammalia; Rodentia; Muridae.